GGGUGAGUAAUACAUAAGUAACCUGGCAUCUACAGGGGGAUAACUGAUGGAAACGUCAGCUAAGACCGCAUAGGUGUAGAGAUCGCAUGAACUCUAUAUGAAAAGUGCUACGGGACUGGUAGAUGAUGGACUUAUGGCGCAUUAGCUUGUUGGUAGGGUAACGGCCUACCAAGGCGACGAUGCGUAGCCGACCUGAGAGGGUGACCGGCCACACUGGGACUGAGACACGGCCCAGACUCCUACGGGAGGCAGCAGUAGGGAAUUUUCGGCAAUGGGGGAAACCCUGACCGAGCAACGCCGCGUGAAGGAAGAAGUAAUUCGUUAUGUAAACUUCUGUCAUAGAGGAAGAACGGUGGAUAUAGGGAAUGAUAUCCAAGUGACGGUACUCUAUAAGAAAGCCACGGCUAACUACGUGCCAGCAGCCGCGGUAAUACGUAGGUGGCGAGCGUUAUCCGGAAUUAUUGGGCGUAAAGAGGGUGCAGGCGGCACUAAGGGUCUGUGGUGAAAGAUCGAAGCUUAACUUCGGUAAGCCAUGGAAACCGUAGAGCUAGAGUGUGUGAGAGGAUCGUGGAAUUCCACGUGUAGCGGUGAAAUGCGUAGAUAUAUGGAGGAACACCAGUGGCGAAGGCGACGGUCUGGCGCAUAACUGACGCUCAGUCCCGAAAGCGUGGGGAGCAAAUAGGAUUAGAUACCCUAGUAGUCCACGCCGUAAACGAUGAGUACUAAGUGUUGGGGGUCAAAGCUCAGUGCUGCAG
RNAcentral lists this ribosomal RNA (755 nucleotides) under uncultured bacterium. Its description in RNAcentral is "bacterial SSU rRNA". It matches the Rfam family "Bacterial small subunit ribosomal RNA", at positions 104 to 851 of the family's 1533-position model. The record is from RNAcentral.